UCCAGAGGGUGCGAUCGUUAAUCGGAAUUACUGGGCGUAAAGCGUGCGUAGGCGGCCGUGUAAGUCGGGUGUGAAAGCCCCGGGCUCAACCUGGGAAUUGCAUUCGAGACUGCACGGCUGGAGUGCGGAAGAGGGAAGCGGAAUUUCCGGUGUAGCGGUGAAAUGCGUAGAUAUCGGAAGGAACAUCAGUGGCGAAAGCGGCUUCCUGGUCCAGCACUGACGCUCAGGCACGAAAGCGUGGGGAGAAAACAGG
This 253-nucleotide ribosomal RNA is filed under the name uncultured bacterium. RNAcentral describes it as "partial 16S ribosomal RNA". It matches the Rfam family "Bacterial small subunit ribosomal RNA", at positions 524 to 776 of the family's 1533-position model. The record is from RNAcentral.